RNAcentral lists this ribosomal RNA (400 nucleotides) under uncultured bacterium. RNAcentral's name for it is "bacterial SSU rRNA". It matches the Rfam family "Bacterial small subunit ribosomal RNA", at positions 975 to 1375 of the family's 1533-position model. The record is from RNAcentral.
CAGGGCUUGACAUCCUCUGACGAUAGUAGAGAUACUAUUUUCCCUUCGGGGACAGAGAGACAGGUGGUGCAUGGUUGUCGUCAGCUCGUGUCGUGAGAUGUUGGGUUAAGUCCCGCAACGAGCGCAACCCUUAUUGUCAGUUGCCAGCAGGUUAAGCUGGGCACUCUGGCGAGACAGCCGUUGACAAAACGGAGGAAGGUGGGGACGACGUCAAAUCAUCAUGCCCCUUAUGUCCUGGGCUACACACGUACUACAAUGGCAACAACAGAGGGCAGCCAAACCGCGAGGUUGAGCGAAUCCCAAAAGGUUGUCUCAGUUCGGAUUGCAGGCUGCAACUCGCCUGCAUGAAGUCGGAAUUGCUAGUAAUGGCAGGUCAGCAUACUGCCGUGAAUACGUUCCC